RNAcentral lists this RNase P RNA (397 nucleotides) under Endomicrobium sp. RNAcentral's name for it is "RNase P RNA component class A". It matches the Rfam family "Bacterial RNase P class A". From Rfam's summary of the family: Ribonuclease P (RNase P) is a ubiquitous endoribonuclease, found in archaea, bacteria and eukarya as well as chloroplasts and mitochondria. Its best characterised activity is the generation of mature 5'-ends of tRNAs by cleaving the 5'-leader elements of precursor-tRNAs. The record is from RNAcentral. Lineage: Bacteria; Pseudomonadati; Elusimicrobiota; Endomicrobiia; Endomicrobiales; Endomicrobiaceae.
AGAGACGGAUAUGCAGUCGCUUUGCAUUUAUUGUGAAGAGGAAAGUCCGAACUUUAACUGCAAAAAGGCAUAGGCAUUAUUGCAGAAAACGGUAGCAGGUAAUACCUGUCGCCCGCAAGGAUAGAGGUGCGAACAGAGACGCCUUUUCCGGAGACGGAAAAAGUAUCCUUAUAUCAAGGGAGACGUCUUCCCGCAAAUAAGAAAGCGGGAAAAAUAGCCUGAAAAAAGGAUAAGCUUUGCAGCAAUGCAGAAGGUGAAACGGCUAAAUCCUUACUGGAAAGCAAGACUGAAGUAUAGUCGCUUGACUGUUAAAAGUGAUUUUAACGGCAGAGAAAUGACUGCGCUUUUAAAAUUUAUUUUUAAAAGACAGAAUUCGGCUUAUAAUCCGUCUUUGUUU